AAACCCGCGUCCCCUGCAUCGGCAGGCGGACUCUCAACCACUGCGCCACCAGGAAAGCCCAGGCCCAGCCUUAAUGUAGGCAGCACUCUCUGUGACUUCACGUCUGAUCUUGUUACCACCCCACACCCUGUAACACUCAGGAAAUGCAUGUGUCCUCCUUAACUGCCCUCCUAGCUAAGCAAUAAACAUGAACCCAUGGUAAGGGGUGAAAGGCAGAAAAUGGGUGUGACAGUGCCAUUCCUUAGGCCAACUCUCCCAGAGUCAAGGGGAUAAACAAGCCUUUAUUUAUUCAUGAGCCAGGCAAAAUAUAUAUCUUUUGUGCAGGAAUGGAUAGAUAUGGGUUUGAAUUACUCGGCUAGUUGCAUAACCAAUCCCUAUUGGUUGGUAAGGAGAAAGGUUGCUUUAAACCACAUGACCCAAGAACUCAGACAUCACUCAGAUAGGCAGGAAGGCCCCUUAAGUAUCCAGUUCUAAUGUUGAGAUCUGGAAACUGUCUCCUUUUCUGGCAUCUUCUCUCCAUCCUUGCCUUAGCUUGUUGUGGAUCAGCAGUCAUUCAUUCUUUCAACAAACAUUCAUUGAUGCUUAUACUGGGGUACAUGUUGCAGGAAAAAAGAACAUAUAAAGGAUAUAACAGGUUUAUAUGAGGUUAAGUGAUAAGGAUUUUCCUAUAUUUCUUAGAGAAAAAAAGUCAUUAUUUAAGCUAUAUACUGUCUCUUUUGGCUCUUUAUCUUUUUGUGAUUUAAAGCCAGUAAAUUAUCUUUUAAUAAAACAAAAUAUUAAGUCUCAAAAUUAUUUCUCUACUUUUAUUCCUCCACUCUAAGUUGUAGUCCCAGAGUCACUCUCUCAGAGCCUAAAAGUAGAUAAAUAAAAAGACUCUAGACAUGAACAAAUUGGGAAAAAAAAUUGAAAUGAUAAUCCAGAGUGUCAACAUUGUACCUCUUCAAGAUCCUGACACUCAAAACCAGAGUCUUUUUGUAGGUGGUACAGGUCAGAGUAGGAGGAAAUCUGGACUGGUUCUUAUAAAAUGGUAACCGUACUGGUUAGGCAAAAAGGAAAUCUUAACAUAUUUGACAAACCUGCCACAGUAUCAAAAGUGUUAGCAUCGCUAACUUUUUCUUUCUCAAAAUGAUACUUCGUGCUAAUUUGACCUCAUUUCUUCAUCAGUAGACCUAUUCAGGAAAGGAGAGCCAACUUCUGAGACUCUGUAGGAAGUGGAGAAGAGGAUGGGGGUGGGGCGUGAUGAAGCUGAUCCGUUCACCAGCCAGUCCCACAGCCAGUCAGGAGUGAAGAUUACAGUUUCUCAGGGUGGAGGGGCAGGAGGAACAUGAUCCAGCAAUUUUCCUUUAUGGGAAUGACUCUAGCAGAAAGUGAGAGGCAUUGAUGGUACUCCUAAGGCACAGCAUUUUGAUGAAUUAUCCAUUACUUUCUCUCUCCUCACUCAUACCUUUUAACACAACUGCUCACAAGAAGCAAAACAAACUGAUUUCUGUGUUCUCAUUUCUCUUAACCAUUUUCCCAUCCUGUGGCUGUGCUCUUGAACUCUGGAAGGGGGAGAAGGAAGGAAAGAGACCUGGAUCUUUCAACUUUCAAAGCAGUUCCCAGUAAUAGAGAAUUGGCUACGUGUAGCCCAGACUGAAAUAUGUGCACACACAGACAUGGAGCAUCAGGUGAGGGAGCUACAGCUACAAAUAAAACAAAACGCCUACUCUCAUAAAGCUCAUUGUCUAUGAGGAUACCAACCAAAAUUCUCCAGAUUGCUUUCAUUGCAGUUGGGUCUUAACUCCCAGCCUCCAACGGUAGACCCAGGAGAUGCCUUAGCCAAGCUCCAGUGAACAGAGUGGGGACCAGCCCAGCUAUUGACAACUCCUGGGUACCGCCUCCUUCAUAGUUAUGAACACAUACUGAUAUAUCAAAGAACCCACCAUCACCACCACCCACCCUUCCCUUCAGUACAAUUUGCUGGACUGAAAGAGCUUAUCAUUGGAUCUCCU
Molecule: long non-coding RNA, 1991 nt
Organism: Aethalodelphis obliquidens (Pacific white-sided dolphin)
Lineage: Eukaryota; Metazoa; Chordata; Mammalia; Artiodactyla; Delphinidae
Exons: 4
Source: RefSeq, a predicted model, not a curated record